UAAAAAUUGGUGUAAUUCGAUUUUUAAGUUGAUUUAUAGGACGGUGCGGUGCUACUUGAAAAUGAAGACUAUAAAUAGAAAAUAUCCUGGCCCGACGGUGGCGGUGCUACUUGUUAUAUUCGGUCACUGUUGGUUUUUACAUUCUAUCUCUACACAAGGAUCUGAUCGUACACGUGUUUCAAUCUUUAACCCUAAGUCAUGCCAGUUACUCUGUUAACCCAUCUCACUCCGUGUUUUUUCAUUCUCUCUCCUCACGACUGAAAUGUUCCCCUCCAGAUAAUCGAAGCUACUAAAAUCGAUUUCCUUUGAAGGAAGUAAGUGCAACAUCGAAGCCCUUGAAAUCGAAGUCCUAAAUCCCCUCCAGAAAAUCGUUUUCUGCAAGCCCUAGAAUCCUAUUCUUCCCUUCUCUCCGCCGCCGUCUCAGGUAUGGGUUUAUAAAUAAAAGAUCAAUAAUUUGGUGGUUCUUCACUUCUUAUACUCAUUUUGGUGGUUUUGUUUAUUCAACCCCUGCAUCCGACUCUCUUGGACAAACAACAAGAAGAAAGAAGAAUAGAAAUUCAAAAUUGAAAACUAACUACAUUUACUUGCUGAAGGUCUUUAAAAAUGAAUAUCAUAGCACUAUAUUCUAAAUUGAGUACAUACCAGUAAACUAUUGUGACUGAGAAGGAGGUAGAACUAUAAUCAAGUGGAAUUCUUGGUUACAUUUCUCUAUAUUUGUUUGAAUGAACAAAAAGAGCUUUUGAAUUUUAGCAUAAUUGCAGUCCUUUUAUAUUUUUCUUUUCAACUCAUGUUAUGAUCUUUUUUUAAGUCAACAUUUUUCACAGUUAAAUUAAACAGGAUAAGAUUUGUCCUGAUUUACCCUUUUAAGACUUCCAAUUUUAUUUGUUCUUGUAGAUGCAAGACAUCAUUGUAGGGUUCUUAAUGUGAUUGAAUUCUCAUCACUUGCAAAUCAAUAGUUGUGUAGCAAAGGUUAUUCACUAUGUAUUUAUAUACAAAUAAUACAAUUCGCCUGUUAGAACUCAGUACCAUUAACUGUGUAAAAGACAUAAGCAGAGGACUGUUUCUGUAUAGAGUUUGUAUUUGAUAAAGCUAGAGCACCUCUUUGGUCCUUUUGGGGACUCCUUAAUUUAGAUUAAUUCAUCUCUCUUUUCCAUACUUUAUUUUCCUCCAUAAAUUUUUUAUUUGCCGUUUAUUAUGGUUCGGAGAAGAUAUCACUGUCCUUCUGCUAUCUAUCAGCAUAACUAUACAUUGGAGAGAAAUCAGUUGAAUUAAGUAUUCAACCUACACAAAUGUUUGAUGAAGAACAGGUUCCAACCCUACUUGACUCUAAACUAGGCUCAUUAGUCCACCACAUCUUCUGUGUUAUCAAGUGACUUGAACAUUUCCUUAAUUUGUUUGCUUCAUCUUUGUUUCAUAGGAUUAUAUUUUAUUGGUUGUAUCUCCAUAUAUGUAGUAAGAUUUGUUGAUUAUCUCAGUCAUUGGUCCACAUGGUCUGAACUAAUUAUCUGUUGGUUAAUUAAAUGCAGGAACUCGUUUGCAUCCGAAGUCUUGUAUAUGCAAUUCAUAUUUUGGUUCACAUACUCCGAAGCGUUGUAUAUGCAAUUCAUAUUUUGGUUCACAUACUCCGUUUCUUUUUCACUCAGUUACUUGGGCUCUUGCAGUGACAAUGACUGCGAUUCUUCUGUCAGCGUACUUGAUAAACUUUUGAACAACUAGUUGCCAUGGUCAGAUUAGCAAAUGGAUAAAUUUAAUAGGCUUUCAGAAACAUAUAUACCCAGCUCCUUUGCAGACUUGGAUAAAUCUAUGACAAUGUGUGGGUGUUGUCUCAAUUACCUGAGACGGAUUUUGAUAUCUUCUGUUUUGUGUAAAAAUAGGUAACUAUUGCGUACCUCUGCUGAGAUGUCAAAACACGAUCUUGAACAUCUAUUCAUCUUCUCGUCCGGAUGCAUUUUCAUCCGAAAUUUUUAUUGGGAUCAUCAUCUCACAAAACUUUGGAUGUUCUUCUGGCAAAACAUUAUUUGUACCUUGGAUUUGAUCAUCCUUUCAGUCAGUAGAGUAAGUCCUUUGCAACAGCUUCUGGUUUUUGCUGAUUGCGUGCUUGGGUCCAAGUUUUUUUUUUUUUUUUCAUUUCAUUUCCUAAUUGGGGAGGGAGUUCACUCAAUAUUGUAAUUCAAGGAAAAUAAGCUUGUAUGAUUGAUGAAUCUAGGUUUCAUGUCUUGAUAUAUAUAAACUUGGCUGUUCAUCAAAGAGCCCUAACAAAUUGAGAUCUCUUGACCUUGCUAUUAGCUGAAGGCAUUGAUAUAAGUUGGGGUAUUGUGUAUCAUUAUCUGUAUGUAUAUAUAUAUAUAGGGGUCAGGUUACAUAAUUCUCUUAUCAUCUGCUUGGUUCAGUUAUACUGAAAACUGCAUGAACAUUAUCCAAGCUGAUAUCUUCAUGACAUUCAAUUCCCACACACAAGCUCAGAAAAUGUUUGAAACCAAUUAUUCUCAACAAUCUCUUAUAUUGAGAGUUUUAGUAAUUUUACGUCAAAAAUUUUUGUUGGUCGAGAUCAAAUGUUACCCUUGUGGGGAUUAGUAUCAAAUAUUCCGGAGAUGAGCUUCUUUUUGUACUCUGUAUAUGAAAAAUCUUGGAUAUAUGUAUCUUCCUCAACUUGGAAAUUUAAAACUUGACGGCUUGACAAGCUUGACGGCUUCGACCGUCGGGAGAUAGCUCAGGCGUAAGAGUCAGUACAGGCGAUUACAAGGUUAACAAUGGAGGAUAAAAUAUCUAGUGUAUUGAGAGAGAAAAAAAUAUCAGUUACCUUUACUUGGACGACCUCCUUGCUAUGUUAUACUCUCUAGCCCGGUUUACCGUGCCACCCACUACCGUCAGACACUGCUCCCCACUACUCAGUGAUCGCAGCCAACAACAUGCCGACUGUCACCUUUUUCAUACUGUUUCUACCGCCGGCCGACUAUAAUCUCAUCCACAUUAAUGAUCUGCAGGCCACUCGGUCAACAGCCUUCCUUUUUCAUCAUUACAAGUCAAAGAUGGAGAUAUUAAAAUAUCUAGUGGGUUAGCCCACUCAAGUUGGCCCAAGUCUUUCAAGAUAUGUUCAUGAGGAUUAACUAAACUGGCCCAACUGACCAAGCCCAAUAGAGAUGACCCAAGAGAUUUAAUCAAAUGAACAGGCCCAAUCUACUCGGCCCAAUAUGUGAAAUAUCAUGACCUAACAUUGCCCCCUAGUUUUUUAUUCAACAAACUAUUUAAUAGAAAACUAUAAAUUACCCAUGAUAUGAAGAAUUUAAUAAAAUCAAAAGAUGCCCAAAUUAAACUUUAUCAAGGCCCAAACGGUAAGGAAGUAGAAUGAUAGGAUAAAUUGAAACCGGAAACCCAACUGAAAGGCCCAAAAGUUUAAAAAUGAAGGAUUGAACCAAACGAUACCCUUUCAAAUUCAUGAUUAUGACUGUCAAUUAAAUGUGCCGCCCUCGUGUACCGUGUAACCGUCAGUAUAAAAAGUAAACUUCACCAAACUUGACAGUUUUACCUGCCAAUUUGAAAUUUAGACGCUUGAGCUCUCUUAUUCUCUCUCGAACGUUUCUUCCCUUCUCUGCAAAAUUUCAACAAUGGUGGUCCUUAAUACGAAUCAGAUCUCCCCAAUUCGGGCAACCCCUCAUACUGUCGUUCCACCUAACCCAGGUCCCAACGAAGAAGCUUCGAGUUCUAACCCUCAAGCUGCGAAAUCAAGCACGAAUCCACCUCCAAACCUACUCCCUAUGAAUUCUUCAGAAGUAAGGAGCGUUUUUCACACGCCAAUACCCCUUCUGAAAUAACAGAGAUUGGUUUAAAGAAAAUCCGUACUCGAUAUCAAAUCUCUGAUACCAUCAGGUGAGAGCUCCACGGUCUGAAGAGCGAAUGUAUCAACGACCGGAAGGUUGGACGGCCGUUCCAGUGACCCUUCUGGAGAAAGGGGUUCGAUUCCCUUUGCACAUUUUCUUGAUUACCUUUCUAGGGUUUAUCGGCGUUGGAUUUGCCCAGUUGGUGCCGAACUCCUACAUUCAUAUCAUCGCCUUCAUCGCUUUUUGCCACGAAGUAGGAGUAGAGCCCACUCUUGACUUCUUCUUCACUAUUUACAAGAUUGGCCAAACCCGGGAAAAAGGGUUUAAGGCUUUGAGCAAAUUACCAUCGAAGUCAGGUGAGAAGUUCGAAAGACGCUCUCUAAUCAAUACUCCUUCCAGCAAUAGAGGAUGGCAUAAAGGGUGUUCUUCAUCAAAGGACCAGAAAUUGCUUCCUUACCGGGUUGGGUCACUGAAGAUGUAGUUUCUGCUGACUUCGGUGACAUCCCGGAAGAACGCGCAAGUGAAAUGAUAGAGCUGUUUAAAAACUUCCCAUCGAAAGAAUGGAAUUACUUGCUUCUUACUAAGCAAGCCUAGUUAUAUGAGCACAAAUGUAAGUUUUGAAUUAUUUGAUUGCACAAUUGUCUGAAAUUUUUAUUGAUAUAGAUUUUGACAUGUGACUUUCUGUUUUUCGUAGUAUCUUUGAUUAAACCGUCUUCUAUAGACGUGAGAUUAGCAAAUGGAUAAAUUUAAUAGGCUUUCAGAAACAUAUAUACCCAGCUCCUUUGCAGACUUGGAUAAAUCUAUGACAAUGUGUGGGUGUUGACUCAAUUACCUGAGAUGGAUUUUGAUAUCUUCUGUUUUGUGUAAAAAUAGGUAACUAUUGCGUACCUCUGCUGAGAUGUCAAAACACGAUCUUGAACAUCUAUUCAUCUUCUCGUCCGGAUGCAUUUUCAUCCGAAAUUUUUAUUGGGAUCAUCAUCUCACAAAACUUUGGAUGUUCUUCUGGCGAAACAUUAUUUGUACCUUGGAUUUGAUCAUCCUUUCAGUCAGUAGAGUAAGUCCUUUGCAACAGCUUCUGGUUUUUGCUGAUUGCGUGCUUGGGUCCAAGUUUUUUUUUUUUUUUUCAUUUCAUUUCCUAAUUGGGGAGGGAGUUCACUCAAUAUUGUAAUUCAAGGAAAAUAAGCUUGUAUGAUUGAUGAAUCUAGGUUUCAUGUCUUGAUAUAUAUAAACUUGGCUGUUCAUCAAAGAGCCCUAACAAAUUGAGAUCUCUUGACCUUGCUAUUAGCUGAAGGCAUUGAUAUAAGUUGGGGUAUUGUGUAUCAUUAUCUGUAUGUAUAUAUAUAUAUAGGGGUCAGGUUACAUAAUUCUCUUAUCAUCUGCUUGGUUCAGUUAUACUGAAAACUGCAUGAACAUUAUCCAAGCUGAUAUCUUCAUGACAUUCAAUUCCCACACACAAGCUCAGAAAAUGUUUGAAACCAAUUAUUCUC
Molecule: long non-coding RNA, 5305 nt
Filed under: Panax ginseng (ginseng)
Lineage: Eukaryota; Viridiplantae; Streptophyta; Magnoliopsida; Apiales; Araliaceae
Description: long non-coding RNA (PGIN_LNC017084)
Source: RNAcentral